This is a long non-coding RNA of Astyanax mexicanus (Mexican tetra), 242 nucleotides long. RefSeq lists it as uncharacterized. The transcript is spliced from 3 exons. NCBI's taxonomy places the organism in Eukaryota, Metazoa, Chordata, Actinopteri, Characiformes, Acestrorhamphidae. The record is from RefSeq and is a predicted model, not a curated record.
GGGAGAUUGAGGUGUACGGUGUGGUAGUAUGAAGCAUUGGGAGAUUGAGGUGUACGGUGUGGUAGUAUGAAGCAUUGGGAGAUUGAGGUGUAUGGUGUGGUAGUAUGAAGCAUUGGGAGAUUGAGGUGUAUGGUGUGGUAGUAUGAAGCAUUGGGAGAUUGAGGUGUAUGAUGUGGUAGUAUGAAGCAUUGGGAGAUUGAGGUGUAUGGUGUGGUAGUAUGAAGCAUUGGGAGAUUGAGGUG